ACAAACAAAAGGUGGACUGAGUUCGUUGAUUGUCUCUGUUUCUCGAAAUCGAGGUAAGAUUCUUUUUUGUUUUCUUCACUCGUGAUUUUGUGUUCUGAGAAAUUGAUGUUCUGAAAAUUUGAGGAAAACGGGUUUGAGUUUAGUUUGUUUGAUGUGUUGUGUGCAUUUUCUCCAUGAAAAUAUGAACUAUCUUUUGGUUGAUAUCAUUGUAUUGUAGUGUUUGGUAUUGAAACACGCGUGGAUGAUUUCUUUGUUUUUGUUUUGUCUAAUUUGAUGUUCGGUUAUUGUUUCGUCUUUGUAUAUGUCACCGUCUUUGUGUUUCUAUGUCACUGUAUUUUACUGUGUUUGUGUGUUUUGUGUCUCGUUUGUGGUAUCAUGUAUGUGUGGUAUGGCAAAGAAAUUGCAGACAGUGUCACCUACCAACAAUGUUACCAAUCGUAUAACUUCUGAAAGUUUUUGUUGGCUACAUGACAGGAUCCUUGAGGAGAGUCUAAGAGGUCAUAAAGCUCGAGAGUUGAUGCUGACACCUAGUGGUGUUUGUCUUUCAUAUUUUGUCCUUUAGUUUGGUUUGAGUCGUUGCCUCAAGACCUUUGUUCUUUCUCUUAAGUAAUGAAA
RNAcentral lists this long non-coding RNA (615 nucleotides) under Brassica napus (rape). RNAcentral describes it as "long non-coding RNA (BNAP_LNC021147)". Lineage: Eukaryota; Viridiplantae; Streptophyta; Magnoliopsida; Brassicales; Brassicaceae. The record is from RNAcentral.